This 327-nucleotide long non-coding RNA is filed under the name Apis mellifera (honey bee). Its description in RNAcentral is "uncharacterized LOC102653804". Lineage: Eukaryota; Metazoa; Arthropoda; Insecta; Hymenoptera; Apidae. The record is from RNAcentral.
UAAGAUUUAGUAGCGAAACGAAUCAGCGCGCAGCAUAGUGCGCAUGAGUCUACAGUUGAAAAGCGUGGUGACAGGUCGUGUUUCGCCGGCAGAGAUUAUCGUUUGAUUGAAGCUUCGAUGGCGGGAUGGCUUUGAAAGUUUUUGCACACAUCAUUAAAAUUAAGAAAUAAUCCAACGAUUUUCAUGCAGAUAUGAUAAAUAGCUGAUUGCUGUAAUUAGUUUAGGCGGGAAAGAGGAUUUCAAUAUGGACGCCAUGAUGACAGAAAAGUAGAUUCUCUCAAUAUGUAAGUACUUUAAUGAUUCCUUUUUAUUGAAUUAUUAGUUAUA